Long non-coding RNA from Mauremys reevesii (Reeves's turtle), 296 nucleotides. RefSeq lists it as uncharacterized. The record is from RefSeq and is a predicted model, not a curated record. The transcript has 4 exons. Lineage: Eukaryota; Metazoa; Chordata; Testudines; Geoemydidae.
AAAGAGCCCACAGCAGAAGCAGGAGCUGUGUGUGCCUCAGCCCUUCCAUGCCGAUUCACCAGCCUACUGUAACGCCUGCUUGAUGAGGCUAGACUCGGAGGAGAAAGAGGCUCUGGAUUACAUCGAAGCCUUUCUCACGAGCAAUGAACAGGACGAGGCCAAGAAACUCAAGUUCUUGGAUUCCAUCAGCACCCUCAGAAGCCUGCCUGCUUUUAUGAACAAAGCCCUGCUAGUGGAGAAGAUAAAGUUAGCUCGUGAGCUCUCUGGGGCAGGGACUGGCUCUCACUGUGUGUGUG